AGUUUGCAGGGGCCUUGUUAAAAAUUAAAGAAGCGAUCUGAUUGGUUACUAUUGGCAACUUGGCAACUUUUCCUCUGGACAGGUUCUGAUGGUAAAGAGUUGUGGCUGGAAAAAUAGUCAUGAUGCCCUGAGCCAGGAGAAGAAAAGGGAAAGUGAACAACUCUGAUCAGAGAAGUCGUCAUCUGUGAGUCCUGCAUGUAGCAACACUGUAAUUUACAUAGCUAACAGGCGGAUGCUAGGGGGAACACAUGUUUGCUUCAUACCAACCAGAGCUGCUGCCCUGCCCUCACCCAAGUCUCCUCUGAAAUGGACCUUUUCCUCACCACAUGAGGACAGGGUUAAGAAGAUCCAGUUGCAGCUACAAUUCUUUUCCAGAGUGAUAGCAAUCUUCCUAGGAUCCAGCUGACCAGACCUUGUACUGUCCAAAUCAAGUUUAGGAAAGUCAGCCCCCAAAAGGAAAGCAGGAGAUAGAAAUCGUUGAGCAACUCCAGUCCAAAUAGGUCCAGUCCGGCAGUAAGCUCUACUGCAGGAAUGCCAGGUGAAGAGUAAAGUCAGUGUCUGUAAGCACCCAAGUCUCCUAUCAGUUAGGCAACCCAAAUCCAGAGCAGUCUAAACAAUAUUAAGCAAACAAGAACAGGACUACAAGUCACACAGUACCCUGAAGCAACUAUGAUCCCUGCAGCAAACUUCUGUGAACUUUGCACUACUGGUUGAACCGUUCCUGUAAUGCUGCAAGUUCUUGAGUAAAAAUUUGU
Hyla sarda is the source of this 755-nucleotide long non-coding RNA. RefSeq lists it as uncharacterized. The record is from RefSeq and is a predicted model, not a curated record. Lineage: Eukaryota; Metazoa; Chordata; Amphibia; Anura; Hylidae. The transcript has 3 exons.